RNAcentral lists this long non-coding RNA (319 nucleotides) under Physcomitrium patens. RNAcentral describes it as "long non-coding RNA (PPAT_LNC003089)". The record is from RNAcentral. Lineage: Eukaryota; Viridiplantae; Streptophyta; Bryopsida; Funariales; Funariaceae.
UUGAAAUUGCUAGCACUCACUUAAUUGGCAUUGUAUUCACAAAAUUCAAUCCAUAAGCCAUAAGAAUAAAAGAUGAGGUCAAAUGCUAUAUUUUUCUAUACAACUUCAACAGAGAGGUUUAGACUUGGCACUUUUGCAAAACCCAAUUAAUGGGAUUCAACCCUUAAUAUUUCCAAAAUCACUCAAAAUACCAAAUCCCAAAUAUCACACUCCAAACUACCGUUGAUAAUUCCCCCUCAUUUACACUUUAUUAUUCCAUUGGUAUAGAGUCAAAGAGGGAAGAGAGCUAAGGCAAGGAAAGCAGUUUUUGAUAUUUCAU